RNA transcript from Phaethon lepturus (White-tailed tropicbird), 888 nucleotides. It is a transcript of the gene named E3 ubiquitin-protein ligase Midline-1 pseudogene, with no coding region annotated. NCBI's taxonomy places the organism in Eukaryota, Metazoa, Chordata, Aves, Phaethontiformes, Phaethontidae. The record is from RefSeq and is a predicted model, not a curated record. The transcript has a single exon.
UGAUCAGCUUCCCUGGAUUUCGCUGACGCCACAGGAAAGCUUUGCCUGAAGAUGGAAACACUGGAGUCGGAACUGACCUGCCCUAUCUGUCUGGAGCUGUUUGAAGAUCCGCUGCUGCUGCCUUGCGCUCACAGCCUCUGCUUCAACUGCGCGCACCGCAUCCUGGUCUCCCACUGCGCCACCAACGAGCCGGUGGAGUCUAUCACCGCCUUCCAGUGCCCGACCUGCCGCUAUGUCAUCACCCUCAGCCAGCGCGGUCUAGACGGGCUCAAGCGCAACGUCACCCUGCAGAACAUCAUCGACAGGUUUCAGAAAGCCUCGGUCAGCGGGCCCAAUUCUCCCAGCGAGACCCGCCGGGAGCGGGCGUUCGAUAGCAACAGCAUGUCGUCCUGCGAGAAGGUCCUCUGCCAGUUCUGCGACCAGGACCCUGCCCAGGAGGCGGUGAAAACCUGCGUUACCUGUGAGGUGUCCUACUGCGAGGAGUGCCUGAAAGCCACUCACCCCAACAAGAAGCCGUUCACCGGCCACCGGCUCAUAGAGCCCAUCCCGGACUCUCACAUCAGGGGAUUAAUGUGCUUGGAGCACGAGGACGAGAAAGUUAACAUGUACUGCGUGACUGACGACCAGUUAAUCUGUGCCUUGUGUAAGCUAGUCGGGCGACACCGUGACCAUCAGGUGGCGGCUUUAAGCGAGCGCUACGACAAGCUAAAGGUUAGUGCUACCUGUCGGCCUUUCCGGCCACGCGGCGUGCGGUUGGGAAGGAGAGCGCCCUUCGGUUGCGUGCUGAAUUCUUCCUUUGGGCAGGGGUUCGGAAAAGUUAGGUGCGCGGUCUCUAAUCGGACGAGAUACACGUACGGUUCUAUAUAUGCAUUUGCUCAUCACCAUUGA